RNAcentral lists this ribosomal RNA (468 nucleotides) under uncultured bacterium. RNAcentral's name for it is "partial 16S ribosomal RNA". It matches the Rfam family "Bacterial small subunit ribosomal RNA", at positions 28 to 507 of the family's 1533-position model. The record is from RNAcentral.
GACGAACGCUGGCGGCGUGCUUAACACAUGCAAGUCGAACGGAAAGGCCCUGCUUUUGUGGGGUGCUCGAGUGGCGAACGGGUGAGUAACACGUGAGUAACCUGCCCUUGACUUUGGGAUAACUUCAGGAAACUGGGGCUAAUACCGGAUAGGAGCUCCUGCUGCAUGGUGGGGGUUGGAAAGUUUCGGCGGUUGGGGAUGGACUCGCCGCUUAUCAGCUUGUUGGUGGGGUAGUGGCUUACCAAGGCUUUGACGGGUAGCCGGCCUGAGAGGGUGACCGGCCACAUUGGGACUGAGAUACGGCCCAGACUCCUACGGGAGGCAGCAGUGGGGAAUAGUGCACAGUGGGCGGGAGCCUGAUGCAGCAACGCCGCGUGCGGGAUGACGGCCUUCGGGUUGUAAACCGCUUUCGCCUGUGACGAAGCGUGAGUGACGGUAAUGGGUGAAGAAGCACCGGCUAACUACGUG